UUAAACUCAUUUUUGUAAUAAACUUGGACGAAAAAGGAGGUGGUCUGGAGCCUUCCAUUCCCUUCCCUGAGUACUUGGAUACGAGUAGCCUUACUCGGCCAUUCGAGUAUUUGUCGUCCGUCCAAAACACUUUAAGAUUAUUUAAAUCCUUUCACAAAUUAAGGAUGAAAAGGGAGAUGGUCUAGAGCCUUCUAUUCCUCUUCUCGAGUACUUGGAUACGAGUAGCCUUACUCGGCCAUUCGAGUAAUCGUCAUCCAACAAAAC
This 264-nucleotide long non-coding RNA is filed under the name Lathyrus oleraceus (garden pea). RNAcentral's name for it is "Pisum sativum (pea) long non-coding RNA (PSAT_LNC022522)". Lineage: Eukaryota; Viridiplantae; Streptophyta; Magnoliopsida; Fabales; Fabaceae. The record is from RNAcentral.